This 520-nucleotide ribosomal RNA is filed under the name uncultured Pacispora. Its description in RNAcentral is "SSU rRNA". It matches the Rfam family "Eukaryotic small subunit ribosomal RNA", at positions 569 to 1086 of the family's 1831-position model. The record is from RNAcentral. Lineage: Eukaryota; Fungi; Glomeromycota; Glomeromycetes; Diversisporales; Pacisporaceae.
AGCAGCCGCGGUAAUUCCAGCUCCAAUAGCGUAUAUUAAAGUUGUUGCAGUUAAAAAGCUCGUAGUUGAAUUUCGAAAUUUUUUUAUCGGUUGAAUCAACAGGUUCGUACUGAUUUUAAGAAUUUCUACCUUCUGGAGAACCUUAAUGUCAUUUAUUUGAUGUUUUGGGAAACCAGGACUGUUACCUUGAAAAAAUUAGAGUGUUUAAAGCAGGCUUAUGUCUGAAUAUAUUAGCAUGGAAUAAUGAAAUAGGACGGCAUGGUUCUAUUUUGUUGGUUUCUAGGAUCACCGUAAUGAUUAAUAGGGAUAGUUGGGGGCAUUAGUAUUCAAUUGUCAGGGGUGAAAUUCUUGGAUUUAUUGAAGACUAACUUCUGCGAAAGCAUUUGCCAAGGAUGUUUUCAUUAAUCAAGAACGAAAGUUAGGGGAUCGAAGACGAUCAGAUACCGUCGUAGUCUUAACCAUAAACUAUGCCGACUAGGAAAUCGGACGAAGUUAAUUUUUAAAUUGACUCGUUCGGCGC